ACUCAACGCUUAUUCUUUUAAAAAAGGUGAGUUUAAGUUGUAAAAUUGUGCUGACUAGAUCAGAUCUUUGAUCAACUUAUUAGCCUUAAACUUGAUUUAAAGGAGUUU
RNAcentral lists this small RNA (108 nucleotides) under Flavobacteriaceae bacterium. Its description in RNAcentral is "6S RNA". It matches the Rfam family "6S-Flavo RNA". The record is from RNAcentral. Lineage: Bacteria; Pseudomonadati; Bacteroidota; Flavobacteriia; Flavobacteriales; Flavobacteriaceae. RNAcentral also lists the same sequence under 1 other name.